RNAcentral lists this ribosomal RNA (460 nucleotides) under uncultured bacterium. Its description in RNAcentral is "partial 16S ribosomal RNA". It matches the Rfam family "Bacterial small subunit ribosomal RNA", at positions 338 to 795 of the family's 1533-position model. The record is from RNAcentral.
CCUACGGGGGGCAGCAGUGAGGAAUAUUGGUCAAUGGACGAGAGUCUGAACCAGCCAAGUAGCGUGAAGGAUGACUGCCCUAUGGGUUGUAAACUUCUUUUAUAUGGGAAUAAAACGUUCCACGUGUGGGAUUUUGUAUGUACCAUAUGUAUAAGGAUCGGCUAACUCCGUGCCAGCAGCCGCGGUAAUACGGAGGAUCCGAGCGUUAUCCGGAUUUAUUGGGUUUAAAGGGAGCGUAGGUGGAUUGUUAAGUCAGUUGUGAAAGUUUGCGGCUCAACCGUAAAAUUGCAGUUGAAACUGGCAGUCUUGAGUACAGUAGAGGUGGGCGGAAUUCGUGGUGUAGCGGUGAAAUGCUUAGAUAUCACGAAGAACUCCGAUUGCGAAGGCAGUUCACUGGACUGCAACUGACACUGAGGCUCGAAAGUGUGGGUAUCAAACAGGAUUAGAUACCCUUGUAGUC